RNAcentral lists this ribosomal RNA (556 nucleotides) under uncultured bacterium. RNAcentral's name for it is "bacterial SSU rRNA". It matches the Rfam family "Bacterial small subunit ribosomal RNA", at positions 56 to 603 of the family's 1533-position model. The record is from RNAcentral.
UGCAGUCGAGCGCUCUUUUCCUUCGGGGAAGGGAGCGGCGGACGGGUGAGUAACACGUGGGUAACCUGCCGUUCAGAUGGGGAUAACGCCUGGAAACGGGUGCUAAUCCCGAAUGGUAUCCCUGCUCGCAUGGGCGGGGAAGGAAAGGCGCUUUAGGGCGUCGCUGAACGAUGGGCCCGCGGCGCAUUAGCUGGUUGGUGGGGUAACGGCCUACCAAGGCGACGAUGCGUAGCCGACCUGAGAGGGUGACCGGCCACACUGGGACUGAGACACGGCCCAGACUCCUACGGGAGGCAGCAGUAGGGAAUCUUCCGCAAUGGGCGAAAGCCUGACGGAGCAACGCCGCGUGAAUGAAGACGGUCUUCGGAUUGUAAAGUUCUGUCAAUUGGGACGAGCGACCUUGAGAGGAAAUGCUCAGGGGGAGACGGUACCAAAGGAGGAAGCCCCGGCUAACUACGUGCCAGCAGCCGCGGUAAUACGUAGGGGGCAAGCGUUGUCCGGAAUGACUGGGCGUAAAGCGCGCGCAGGCGGUCUUUCGCGUCUGGGGUGAAAGGUC